RNAcentral lists this long non-coding RNA (1996 nucleotides) under Olea europaea (common olive). RNAcentral describes it as "long non-coding RNA (OEUR_LNC006223)". Lineage: Eukaryota; Viridiplantae; Streptophyta; Magnoliopsida; Lamiales; Oleaceae. The record is from RNAcentral.
CCCUCUCUUAAGAAUUUUGGCGGGGCCCACAAUAGGGUUAGGUGGGCUUCGUCUUUGCCAAUAGAAUCCAUAAAUUUUCUUGAGAUUUGUUAAAAAUCCCUUUUCCUCCAUUUUAAGGGAGGUGAAUGAAGGAAAAAAGACUCCCAACUUUUUAGUGUUUUUACAUGUAUUUACUAGCCUUGUUGUUGCUUCUCCAAUAUAGGUGGACUAACUUUUUGAAUUACCCCCUUUAUAAAUUACUAUCAUGUAUAUAUGCCUAACUGCAGUCCAUCCUCAUUUGUCAAAUGCUUUCUUCUUUAAUCACUUGUUCUCUUUCCUUAUCCUCAUUUACCAGUCUUUUUACCUCAAACCACUCCCAUCCUGGGCUUCUGAAAUGAGAUUGGUCUCUCUGGUUUUGGAAAGAUUUAUCACCUUUUCCCAUAGCCAAAACAAUUAGAAAUACUCUGUUAGAUAUUUUUUUCGCAUUUUUUACUCGAAGAAUGUCACCUAAGAAGAACAAGAUUACUUAUUGUAAGGCUGAGAAUCUUGAGAUUACACCAGAUAUGUCUGUGUUAGAUUUGCCUGACCUUAUUUUUUGCAAUUUAUUCCUCUUAUUUAUCAUGUAACAUAUUUCGUCUUUAAGUUAAAUUUUCUUUUCUUUCCUUUUCCUUUUUUUUUUAAAAAAAUUUAGUGUAGCUAAAGAUGUGUUAAGUUUUGUGUUAUAUAGAUUCAUAUUCAACCUGUUUAUUAAUGCCAGAAGCUGUCUUCUUAGUUGAUUUUUUGUAAAGUUAUAACUAAAUUUUCAUAAAGCCUGUUUGAGAGUGAUUUUGAGAAUUGAUUUUUUGAACGUUAAGAGAAAAGUGGGGUCCACUUGUGAGAGAAGAAGUCAAAUAUGACGAUCAGAAUAGUGAAAUAAUGGUCAAAAAAUCAAUUUUUUGGAUCAAAAAAUCAAUUUUUUGGGCUAAAAAAUAACUCCCAAACAAGCUGACAAUUUCUAGUUUACCGUUCCCAUUGAUAUUUCCCCGUUUACAUUCGUUUAUAUGCUAAAGCUUUGUUAACUCCUAAUUCUUGGCGGGGUGCCCCCUCUCUUAAGAAUUUUGGCGGGGCCCACAAUAGGGUUAGGUGGGCUUCGUCUUUGCCAAUAGAAUCCAUAAAUUUUCUUGAGAUUUGUUAAAAAUCCCUUUUCCUCCAUUUUAAGGGAGGUGAAUGAAGGAAAAAAGACUCCCAACUUUUUAGUGUUUUUACAUGUAUUUACUAGCCUUGUUGUUGCUUCUCCAAUAUAGGUGGACUAACUUUUUGAAUUACCCCCUUUAUAAAUUACUAUCAUGUAUAUAUGCCUAACUGCAGUCCAUCCUCAUUUGUCAAAUGCUUUCUUCUUUAAUCACUUGUUCUCUUUCCUUAUCCUCAUUUACCAGUCUUUUUACCUCAAACCACUCCCAUCCUGGGCUUCUGAAAUGAGAUUGGUCUCUCUGGUUUUGGAAAGAUUUAUCACCUUUUCCCAUAGCCAAAACAAUUAGAAAUACUCUGUUAGAUAUUUUUUUCGCAUUUUUUACUCCAAGAAUGUCACCUAAGAAGAACAAGAUUACUUAUUGUAAGGCUGAGAAUCUUGAGAUUACACCAGAUAUGUCUGUGUUAGAUUUGCCUGACCUUAUAUUGGAAUGCAUUCUUGAGAGGCUUCCAACAGAGGGGCUUUGUAGAAUGGCUAGUGUUUGUAGUACUUUGAAAAAUAGGUGCACAAGUGAUCAUCUAUGGGAAAAACAUAUGAAAAACAAAUGGGGUAGGAUUAUUGGCCCUGCUGCAUAUAGGGAAUGGCAGUGGCAUAUUGCCUCAAGAAAAGGUCCAAUCUUCUCUAAUCAAGGCAAACAGAGGGGCCUAAUGGGCUAUCUCACUCUCUUAUGGCCUACUGCACUGAUUAGAUCUAGUUUUGGUAAUAUUCACAAGAAGAAGGAUUUUCCUCCAGUUGAUUCAAUCAUGUCAUGGUGUCUUGCUCUCGAGUCUGGAAACUUUUGGUUCCCUG